UCGGGAAUCUUGCACAGUGGGCGAAAGCCUGAUGCAGCAACACCGUGUGAGCGAGGAAGGCCUUCGGGUCGUAAAGCUCUGUUGUUGGGGACGAAGGGCGAAGGGUUAAUAGCCCCUAGCCUGACGGUACCCUUCGAGGAAGCCCCGGCUAACUACCUGCCAGCAGCCGCGGUAAUACGCAGGGGGCGAGCGUUGUCCGGAAUUAUUGGGCGUAAAGAGCGUGUAGGCGGCCCGGUAAGUCCGCCGUGAAAACCUGGGGCUCAACCCUGGGCGUGCGGUGGAUACUGCUGGGCUAGAGGAUGGUAGAGGCGAGUGGAAUUCCUAGUGUAGCGGUGAAAUGCGUAGAGAUUAGGAAGAACACCGGUGGCGAAAGCGCUCUGCUAGGCCGCAACUGACACUGAGGGACGAAAGCUAGGGGAGCGAAUGGGAUUAGAUACCCCCGUAGUCC
This 448-nucleotide ribosomal RNA is filed under the name uncultured prokaryote. RNAcentral's name for it is "bacterial SSU rRNA". It matches the Rfam family "Bacterial small subunit ribosomal RNA", at positions 355 to 796 of the family's 1533-position model. The record is from RNAcentral.